CAGCAUUCCAACUUUUGCAGAUUGUGCUGAUUUGAUCAAAUUCUCAAUGAGUAGCACUUUUGUCUCUAAUGAGAUUAUUUUACUCUGCCUUGCCUUCCCGUUCCGUAGUGAAAGUCGGAAGCCGGCUCGAUGUAGUCAUCUCUCUUAUGUCACUACAUUCCAUGGCACUAAUUAUAGCUAGUGUAGUACAGUCUGUGUGUGUGUGCGUGUGUGUGUGUGUGGAUGCGCUGCCUCUGACUUGUUAGCAGCACAGUUUCACAGAUCAAGACAGCAAUGCAUGAGGAGUGAUGACUCUCUCCUUCCUCAUCGGCUGACGUUCCUGCUUUUUUUUUUUUUUUUUUUUCUUUUCCCAAACCAGACAGACCGCAACAGAACAAAGACAAAAGCGGGAAUCAUGGAAAGGGCCGGAACACCAGAACAAGGGGACAGAAAGCAGUUUGUCUGCCUGAAAGAAAAUGGCCAUAAUUUGGGAAUGUUUGUCCUUUUGUGCCAGACUGAAAACAACCGGACGUAAACAGAGCCAGAACCAGAACCUCUGAGGCGUCUAGUGAAGUGCGUGAAUAGAAGCGUGUGAUCUCAUGACGUCUGACUGAAACAGGAAUGAAGAAUUUGGUUUCUUUUUCUAAUCAGAGACAGAAGCUGAAGCUUAGCCUCCUUUAGCGCUCUAAAUAUUCAUAUCUGUAUGCGGAUUUCAGCCCAAAGUGGGUGUGGCCUAAACGCUAAGGGUCGUUUUUCUUUUUGUUUUGUUUUUUUGCACUUAGCAAGUACAAAUGUCUUCAAUAUAGUCCAAAUGUAUCUAGUAUUUCUCAUAAGGUUCCAAUAAACCAAAUAUAAGAUCAUUUAACCUAUUUCUAGACAUUAGUACUCAUUUCAAGCUUGUUGUUUUCUUAUUCUAUUGGCAGAUUAUUUUGCUUCUUUCUAGACAUAAAUGCUUCAAAUGAGCAAAAUGAUCUGCCAAUAGAGCAAGACAAUACUUCAAGCUUGAAUUGAAGACAAAUGGCUUGAAAUAGGUUUAAUAAUCUCAGAUUUGCUUUAUUGUGCUCUUAUACUAGUUAAAUCUGACUAUUUCUACUUGCUAAGAUGUCUUCUUCUUUUUUUUUAUUAAACAGGACUGUUUAUAAUCCUGCUCUUACAGUUUCUAUCUGUCCAUGAUCUCCUAACAAAUUCAGUUAGCUCCCCAAAAUAUAAACAGACUUAUAGGCUAAUUUAAACCACAACCCUGACCAGGCAGUUACUAUGGAUGAAUGGAUAGAUAGAUAGAUAGAUAGAUAGAUAGAGAGAGAGAGAGAGAGAGAGAGAGAGAGAGAGAGAGAGAGAGAGAGAGCCAAUAGUUGUGGAGUUGGGUAGAUAGAUAGAUAGAUAGAUAGAUAGAUAGAUAGAGUGCAGUUGGAUAGAUAGAUAGAUAGAUAGAUAGAUAGAUAGAUAGAUAGAGUGCAGUUGGAUAGAUAGAUAGAUAGAUAGAUAGAUAGAUAGAUAGAUAGAUAGAUAGAUAGAUAGAUAGAGUGCAGUUGGAUAGAUAGAUAGAUAGAUAGAUAGAUAGAUAGAUAGAUAGAUAGAUAGAUAGAUAGAUAGAUAGAUAGAGUGCCAAUAGUUGUGGAGUUGGAUAGAUAGAUAGAUAGAUAGAUAGAUAGAUAGAGUGCCAAUAUGCCAAUAGUUGUGGAGUUGGGUAGAUAGAUAGAUAGAUAGAUAGAUAGAUAGAUAGAUAGAUAGAUAGAUAGAUAGAUAGAUAGAUAGAAACUUUCCUUAUCCUGCGGGAAGUUUCAGCAUUACAGUAGUGGUAACCAUGGUAAUAAGAUAG
Molecule: long non-coding RNA, 1798 nt
Organism: Ictalurus punctatus (channel catfish)
Lineage: Eukaryota; Metazoa; Chordata; Actinopteri; Siluriformes; Ictaluridae
Source: Ensembl